Molecule: ribosomal RNA, 740 nt
Filed under: uncultured archaeon
Lineage: Archaea
Description: bacterial SSU rRNA
Rfam family: Archaeal small subunit ribosomal RNA
Source: RNAcentral
GGGAAACUGGGGCCAAUCUUUGAUAGGCGUGGGCUCCUGGAAUGGACCUACACUGAAAAGGCGUCUGGAUCAUGCUUCAGACGUUGCCUAAGGAUGAGGCCGCAACCGAUCAGGUUGUUGGCGAGGUAACGGCUCACCGAGCCUAUAACCGGUACGGGCCGCGGGAGCGGUAGCCCGGAGAUGGACACUGAGACAAGGGUCCAGGCCCUACGGGGCGCAGCAGUUACGAAAACUCCGCAAUGCACGAAAGUGUGACGGGGCUAUCCCGAGUGCCGUCCGCUGAGGAUGGCUUUCCUCCAGUUUAAGGAGCUGGAGGAAUAAGGAGAGGGCAAGUCUGGCGUCAGCCGCCGCGGUAAUACAAGCUCCUCCGAGGUGGUAGGGACGACUAUUGGGCUUAAAGCGUCCGUAGCCGGCCCAGCAAGUCCUCCGUUAAAUCCAGCGAUUCAAUCGUUGGACUGCGGGGGAUACUGUUGGCUAGGGGACGAGAGAGGCCGACGGUUUUCUCGGAGUAGGGGUUGAAAUCCUAUAAUUCCGGGAGGACCACCAGGUGGCGAAGGCUGUCGGCUAGAACGAGCUCGACGGUGAGGGACGAAAGCUGGGGGAGCGAACUGUAUUAGAUACCCGGGUAGUCCCAGCUGUAAACGAUGCGGGCUAGGUGUUAGGGUGGCUACGUGCACUCUAGGUGCCGCAGAGAAGGCUUAAGCCCGCCGCCUGUGGAGUACGGCCGCAAGCUGAAACUU